This 397-nucleotide ribosomal RNA is filed under the name uncultured bacterium. Its description in RNAcentral is "bacterial SSU rRNA". It matches the Rfam family "Bacterial small subunit ribosomal RNA", at positions 355 to 769 of the family's 1533-position model. The record is from RNAcentral.
UGGGGAAUAUUGCACAAUGGGCGAAAGCCUGAUGCAGCAACGCCGCGUGAGUGAUGAAGGCCUUCGGGUUGUAAAGCUCUGUCUUCUGGGACGAUAAUGACGGUACCAGAGGAGGAAGCCACGGCUAACUACGUGCCAGCAGCCGCGGUAAUACGUAGGUGGCAAGCGUUGUCCGGAUUUACUGGGCGUAAAGGAUGCGUAGGCGGAUACUUAAGUCAGAUGUGAAAAUCCCGGGCUUAACUUGGGAACUGCAUUUGAAACUGGGUAGCUAGAGUGCGGGAGAGGAUAGUGGAAUUCCUAGUGUAGCGGUGAAAUGCGCAGAGAUUAGGAAGAACACCAGUGGCGAAGGCGACUUUCUGGACCGUAACUGACGCUGAGGCAUGAAAGCGUGGGGAGC